This 24-nucleotide non-coding RNA is filed under the name Arabidopsis thaliana (thale cress). Lineage: Eukaryota; Viridiplantae; Streptophyta; Magnoliopsida; Brassicales; Brassicaceae. The record is from RNAcentral.
UAUUGUUACACUAACUAACGCCGU